ACCAGAAGAGGCGCGAUGCUCAGGCAACAGAGAGUAGGCUGGCAAAGUCAAUGAUACUCUGUAAGGGGAUGCAUCGCCGAGACAUCUUACGAUCUGCCGCGUCAGAUGUCGGCUACUAAGGCUGAAUCCUUAGAGCUGUCACUUUAGUGAAGCGCUUCUGG
This 161-nucleotide non-coding RNA is filed under the name human gut metagenome. RNAcentral describes it as "Lysine riboswitch". It matches the Rfam family "Lysine riboswitch aptamer". From Rfam's summary of the family: Riboswitches are metabolite binding domains within certain messenger RNAs that serve as precision sensors for their corresponding targets. Allosteric rearrangement of mRNA structure is mediated by ligand binding, and this results in modulation of gene expression. The record is from RNAcentral.